UUAAUUUUCAUUGGGAAAGGCACAUGCAGUUCAUGGAUUGGCCAACCUAUCAUGAGAAAUAUUAGUAAUAUUACAAUGACACAGUCUUUCUAAUUGGUGAAAUUCACGUGAAUCUCAAAAUGUGGGUGGUUCUCUCAUCUGACGCCGUCUGUUGAGACCAAAUUCAUAGUGGGAGAUGAUACUGGUUUUCAUUAUACAACUGGGAUGCACAUGAAUUUCAUCCAGUAUGAAAAAAGAUGUUGGAAGGAAAGUGUUAUUGUGUGUUGCUAUUUACUAUUCACCUACUAUUCUAAAGUUGUGUAUAGCAUAGGUGAUUUAUAACCUUGGCUUACAAUUAUGUAUGUGGAUCCUAAAGUCUUACCUUCCUCAUAUGGUACUGUGGUCAAAGCAAUUUUUUUCCUUUCUGCAUGUUUAUUUAUAUUGAUUAUGGUAUUUGAAAUUAAGGAUCAUGUUGUGAAUUCAAUGUGUACGUGGGUAUUAGUGAAGAAGCUAUAAAUCAUGGAAACUCUUCCUACUUGUGUUGUUAGACUGUCGACACUUUUUUGUCAUUGACAUUAAAAAUAUAAAUAUCCUACUGGUGUUAGAUACUUCUCUCUCACUAAUUGUCCUAUACAAGAAUUGUUGGCUUAAACACUUGGCCUAAGUUUGUUGUACGCUUUGACACUUCAACUUAAAACUGAACUUCAAGAACACUAGUAUUGUAAAAGAAAUAAUCUUUUUCUAAUAUUUAGGUAGUUUGCUUGAAAUAUCGUAUAUUGAAA
This 761-nucleotide small RNA is filed under the name Vigna angularis var. angularis. RNAcentral's name for it is "Non-protein coding transcript". The record is from RNAcentral. Lineage: Eukaryota; Viridiplantae; Streptophyta; Magnoliopsida; Fabales; Fabaceae.